RNAcentral lists this long non-coding RNA (1764 nucleotides) under Cricetulus griseus (Chinese hamster). RNAcentral describes it as "lncRNA (ENSCGRG00015032597.1)". Lineage: Eukaryota; Metazoa; Chordata; Mammalia; Rodentia; Cricetidae. The record is from RNAcentral.
GCUAAACAGACUGCUGCCGUGCUAGCUGGCUAGGUCACUCUGUACUCCCGGCUCCCAGCCACCAGCUGUCCCAGACAAGUGCAUUCUGGCUGCCGCUGAGCCACUUAGAACCGUCUGCCCAGCUGGGAGACUUCCACAGACCUCUUGCAGUUUCUAGCUGCAGGCACAGGACUGGCUCAGACUGUGGCCUACCCGAACCCUGAGGCCUCUGCCCUAGAACUGGGUAGGCCUCAGCUUUCAGCAACAGCUUCCCCUGGCCACUGCUGCAUAAAGUCGUAAAGCCGUGUCACUUUCACUGGUUGCAGCCACAAGGCCAUAUACUUUCUAAGAUAAGCGCAGCCGCUUUUGUGACCUCUCUCCACGGCUACCACCAUCUUGCCUGACCCACCGCUGCCAAACCCCGUGCCAAGUAGCUGAAUGCCUGCACCACCUGCUGGUCAAAGAUACUUACUGCAUCUGCAGUAGAAAUCAGGAGAAGAAAAACUUUGGAUACCAUUAAAGUUGAUCAAGAUUCACAUUGAAAAGGAAAAACCUCUCGACGAGGACAAAUGACAGGUAUUCUACUAAGGUAUGUCUUAUAAGCUAAAUAGAAACCUCACAAAGGAAAGGGAAGUGUUUUGCUUUUAUCUUCACAGGAAAACUCAUCUCCAGAAGGCCAAGGACACUGCAUGGGUAGAUACGUAAGAAGAGAAGGUAGCUUAACCAUCAAACAAAAAGAACAUGCCAUGCAGUAAAUUUUACAGCUGUCUCUCAGAGAACUCUAUUUCUUUUUCUAGUCCCUAUUCAAUUAAAACAAUGCUGGAUUUACAGGUAGAUUUGGCUUUCCUCCUCUAAAAUCCAAGCACGUUGUUUAACUAAACUUUAGAGUUUCUGUAUUGUAUCAAGAAGCCAAUUGAUGUAAUACAGAAUAAGAGAAUUUGGGGACUAUCUUUGUCUUUUCUUGGCUCUUUCCUUCAAGGUAUACACCCUCUCAUAGUUGUUAUUAUCCCAUGGUUGCCUUUCCCAGUAUGUGUACAUACACAAGCAAACAUUUCUCUGCUAACUGUUUAUGUUUGAGUCCCACACAGCCAAUGAAGACCUGCCUGACAGCAAUUCCCUGGACACCCGGGAAAGAAAGUGGGCCAUACCUCCUCGACUGCACUGGAUCCAUCUUGCUCCAUUUCAACUGACAUUCUGGUCAGAGGUUUGGGUACUAACUUCAAUCAAGUUGAGGAUUUCAAGCGAGAUCUUCAAUCAAGCGAAUCCCAUUUAACAUGGACUGGAUACAAUCCAUUCAAGAUUUUCACUAUACUAACAUUUUCUUCCUACAGGACCCCACAAGGAUGUCGUCAUCCCAUUUCAGCAGGAAGUAACUUGGAGAAUGCUAUGUCCCCUUUCCCCCAUUGUUGUCACUUGGGAUAGUGUAUAUACCUAGUUAGGGAUAGCUUCCUAUUGUUUAUGGUUGAGAUUGGACACCUCUUUCAGAUGACUUUAGGGUUUAGUUAAACUAGAUAGUUAGGGUGUGACAUAAGCAGAUUGUUGUAUCUUCUUAUAUUUCACCUUUAUGAUUGUUAAUUUUGGAUACUUUACACUGUUAAGUUUUAAUCCUCUUUUAGACUAAAAGGGGAAUUGUAGGGGAAGCUGUAGCCAUGCCUGCUAGGGCGUGGUCAGGGCGAUGUAGAGUGAGAGUUGGUCAGGUGGCUGGUUUCUGGUUUCAGUUUCAAUUUUGGCUUGCUGUACAGACUGCUGCCAUGCCAGCUGGCUAGGUCACUCUGUAAGUAAGGC